Long non-coding RNA from Oreochromis aureus, 7073 nucleotides. The record is from Ensembl. Lineage: Eukaryota; Metazoa; Chordata; Actinopteri; Cichliformes; Cichlidae.
AGUGAAAGUAACAAGUUAUGGAAAAUGGCGUGGGAUAAUGAAUCUAGAGGGAGACAAUUGUAUAGGUUACAAAAUACAGUACAAGUUAAAAGAAAUAAAGGAAUAUAGCUAUAUUAUUGCUAAAGCACUAAAGCACUUUCUGGAUGAAUGCAAACUGCAUUUCGUUGCCCGUGUGUGCAAUGGCAAUAAAGUUGAAUUCUAUGCUAUUCUAUUCUUUGUUGUGGUUGAUGAUGAGUGUAUUUUUCCUUUUUUGCAUGCUUUUACUGUAUUUAUUGGGACGUCCUCCGGAGAGACUCCUCCCCCCUGCUUUCCCUAACUAAUUAGAUAACCUGGAGGGCACAGGGGACAGCAAUCAAUCAGGCCUCCUUUGUUGGCAGCGAGAGGCCAAAAAGAGGGCCUGUCAGGUCGGAAAAGGGGACGUGGCCGGACGGAGGGCAGGAGGAGAGAGCCAUUGAGUAGCGUGGCGGCAGGCGCAGCCAAAGGCAGUGUAGCAUUCCAGCCGGACUUUAUUCAGACGAUGCACUCAAUGAUCAUUACGGAUGGUCCAUGGUGGGGUAUUCCAACCCAUUUAUUCACAAGUUUUACCAUAGAAACAUCGUAAGAGCUGUAAUCAUAACAUAAAACAAAAUAAACAUUCACUUGAUAUAACCACAUUUCCUAAAUGCUAAUUAAUUCACAGAAAAGGCACAAGAGGUGCUAGCAUCAGCCUGCUAGAUCACUCAUAAACUUGUUAACAAUCAAGUAAUAAAUUUACAAAUUGUCCGAAAUGUUAACAACAAGAAAAAUACACAAACAUACCUGUUCGCCUUCCAGCUAGAUGCUAAUUUAAAGAUGGAUGGGAAACGAUAACCUUUUCAUUAACCUUUUCUGCAGCAAGCAGUAGCAGUACGAUCUUCCUUCCCGGAAGUUGUCCGUUCCGAAUUUCAAAAUAAGAGUCUAAUCUAUAUUAUAAGGUGUAAUUCGUUCAGGGAUUUAACUGUUUGAAAAAUAUCAAUGAGACAAAUAAUCUGGGUCAUUUACACUCCCACCAAAUCAUUAGUGUUCCAAACAUCAUAACUCCAUAACCAUAGGAAGAGAGAACACAAAUGAUUUCAUAAUACAAAUAAUGACCAAACAACAGAAGCAUAGUAUGCAAGGAAUGAACUAGUCAUUUUCCAACAAUAAGACUAGUUUUUGAACUGGCCGUUCGAGCACUGACUGCUUAGUGAGACGUUCACCAUUUUUGCCAAGUUUCCUGUCACCUAGACAUAGCUUUACUCUCCUAACCAGUCCAUCUCUGUCCAUUGUAGUCUCUACGACUCUUCCCAACCUCCAUUCAUUUCUGGGCAAGUCUUCAUCCUUCAUUAUGACUAUAUCCCCGAUCUGCAGGUUUCUCUUUGGGGUGUGCCAGCGUUGUCUAAAGGCAAUGUUGGCCAAGUACUCUUUCCGCCAACGGCUCCAGAACUGCUCGGCCAAAUAUUGUACGUGGCGCCAUCUCUUUCUCGCAUACAUAUCUUCUCUUAUGAACUUGCCGGGGGGAGGAAGGGCCAUGGUAGACUUCAGGGUAAGUAAGUGGUUUGGUGUCAGUGGCUCAAGACUGUUGGGAUCAUGUAGGUUUUCAAUAGUGAGAGGACGACUGUUAACUAUCGUCAUUGCUUCAUAGAAGAAUGCUCGGAGGGAAGCAUCAGGUAGGUUUCCAGGUGAGAGACCAAGGGUUGCGUUGAGAACACUCCUGACUGUUCUAAUUUGACGCUCCCACACUCCACCAACAUGACUUGAACCAGGAGCAUUUAGGAUGAAGUCACACUGCUUCUUAGAAAGGAAGUUCGUCAGUUUAUCACCAUCAGUUCAUUCUUGGCUCCUAGGAAGUUACUGCCUUGGUCAGAUUUGAUCUGGCGCACGGCUCCACGUAUAGCAAUGAAGCAGCGCAGCCCAAUUAUGAAUGAGUCUGUAGAUAGGUCCUCCAGCAUUUCCAUAUGGAUGGCUCUAGAGGAGAAGCAGGUGAAAAGGAGACCAUAUCGUUUUCGCACACUACGUCCUUGCUUGCUAUAGAAGGGUCCAAAGCAAUCCAUUCCACAGUAGGUAAAAGGUGGAGAUGGAUUUACUCGCUCUGGAGGGAGAUCGGCCAUUUUCUGUUCUUCUGUCCGUCUCCGAAGCUUCCGACAAACUACACAUUGGCGAAGAUAGGAUGCAACCGUCCUACCAAUUCCUGGUAUCCAGUAACCUCUUGUCCUAAUUGCACUGAGAGUCAUCCCCUUGCCUUGAUGCUUGACUUCUUCAUGACAGUAUGCUAUGAUCAUCCUUGUAACAUGAUGUUCCUUUGGAAUGAUGGUAGGGUGUUUAACUGAGAGAGGAAGGUUUGAAUCACAGAGUCGACCUCCCACCUUAAUCACACCAUUGUUGUCCAAGAAGGGGUUGAGGUGAUGUAGCUUGUUAUGAGGUGGCAGCUGACAACCUUUCUUCAAUAGCCGCACUUCCUCCGAGUAUGUUUGUCUCUGCAGAUCUUUGAUGAUGAGGCGCUCUGCUUCUUCUCUUUCAUGCACUGUAGAGAGGCCGAUUGACUUAUCCUUGUUAAUCCUUCGAAGAAUGCGAGCCACUGCACAGAUGGCGCGAGUCCAGGACGAGAACUUUGUCAGCCGAUAGGUAAGAGAAUCUUGUUCUACAGUUUCUGUGUUUAGAGUCCGUGUUUCCUUAACUUCUGGAUCUCCGACUGACAGUUCCGGAGCCACCUCUUCUGAGAGGUCAACUCCCUUUUCCCAUAGAAAUGCAGGGCCGGUAAACCAGUUCGAUGAUAUUAGCUCAUUGACGAAACAACCUCUAGAAGCACGAUCCGCAGGAUUCUGGUCGGUAGGGACGUAUCUCCAUUGCCUUCGAUUCGUGUAGAGAUGUAUCUUCUGGAUACGGUUGGCUACGAAUGUAUGAAAACGUCGAGCCUCGUUAUUGAUGUACCCUAGUACAACCUUGGAAUCGGUCCAAAAAUGCUCUUCAAUGUCCGCACAUCCAAGUUCUUCCUUCAAAACAUUGCUGGUUUUCACAGAGAUGACUGCAGCUGUCAACUCCAAUCUUGGGAUCGUGGUAACCUUUGUUGGGGCAACGCGAGAUUUGGCCAUGACUAGUGCACAGUGGAUGUCUCCUUCUUCAUUGCUAAGCCUCAGAUAUGAGCACUGUCCAUAGCCAGUAGUGCUUGCGUCGGAAAAGUGAUGUAACUCACGUUUGAUAACCUUUCCGAAAUCUGCCGGGGCAUAACUUCGGGGUAUAUUUAUCCUCUCCAAGUUGUUGAUGUCGUUUUUCCAUUUCUCCCACCGUGGGCGAAGAUCGUUGGUUAGAGGGUCGUCCCAACCUGUUCCAUGGCAGCACAUCUGCUGCAGCACUUCCUUACCAAUGAGCAAAAAAGGGGCUAUGAGACCCAAGGGAUCGUACAGGGAUGCAACAAUGGACAAUAUGCCUCGACGCGUUGCAGGCUGUUCCUUAAGGUUGGUGCUGAUCUUCAGGCAGUCUGAUUUGACGUGCCAUUGGAUGCCUAAUGCUCUCUCUGAAGGUAAGUUAUCAAAGGCAAGGUUGAGGUCUUUAAUGUCUGAUGCACGUUCAGUUGCUGGUAUGCUUUCCAGGACAGCUUUGUCGUUGGACACAAACUUGUGGAGCCUAAGACCACCCAGGGCACAAAGUCUUCUGGCUUCUUCUGCUAACUUGAUAGCCUUCUCUGAGCUGUCUGUACUUGUGACUCCAUCGUCGACGUAGAAAUUUCUCAGAAUGAACUGAGAGCCUAAUGGGUAUAGGUCUUUAUUUUCUGUAGCCAAAUGCUUCAAACCGUAGUUCGCACAACCAGGCGAUGAGGCUGCGCCAAAGAUAUGCACCCUCAUACGGUAUUCUUGGGGCUGUGCACUGAGAUCUCCUUUCUUCCACCAAAGGAAGCGCAGGUAAUCCUGGUCCGACUUCCUCACAUGAAAUUGGUGAAACAUUUUCUCUAUGUCGCACAUCAAUGCAGUGGAGUGCAACCGGAAGCGAAGGAGUACACCGUUGAGAUUGUUCAUCAGGUCAGGACCAGUGAGCAGAUGAUCGUUCAGACUGGUUCCCUGGUACUUGGCAGAGCAGUCAAACACCACGCGCAGUUUGCCUGGCUUCUUGUCGUGGAAUACACCAUGAUGAGGUAUGUACCAUUUUUCGCCCUCUUUACCAUCAUCGUGGACUUCCUCUGCAUCACCCUUUUCUAUGACCUCCUCCAUGAACUUGACAUACUGUUCUUUGUACCCUUUAUCCUUUAAGAGCUUCCUCUUUAGAUGGCUCAGGCGCAUGACUGCAAGCUGUUUGUUGUCAGGUAAGGUAGGUCUCUCCUUAAAGGGUAGCGGCAUCUCGUAGUGACCUAGACUGUUCUUUCUGAUGUGGUUCUUGAGUUUGUCCAGGAACAGGAUGUCCUCCUGAGACACUGGUUUGCCGUCUUCCUUAGCAUCCUUUGAGUGUUAAAGUAGUGCUUUUGUGACUACGGAUUGACUUUGUCACUCUAGAUGCAGUGGAUCCAUAGAUGGAGCGUGCGUAGCUGUUCUUAAGCAGCUCCCUGAGACGGUGAUGUGCUUGUUCUGCAUCAUAAUCACCAUCGAGGUCUGACAUUCUUUCAUAGGUAACUUUCAUAAUGUCGGCUGUAACUGCCUCACAACUGUCAACGUGACGUCUUAAUUCUGGAGAAGGUGUAAUGUGACUUCGUAUUUCAAGGUAAGUGUUUAACACAGUUUCUUUCUCUUUCUCCAAAGCAUCCAUCAAAGAUGCCAGCUCUCCUUUACUAAUGUCUGACUUGAGCUGCUCUCUUGACUCUCGGGCUCGAAUCUUCCAUCUUUCGUAUGUUGAGAUGAACUUUUUUUCUCUUUUUCUUGCUUCUUCCUGUUGCAUUUCGAGAGCCUUUGGAGUUGGGAUUUUUGUUCGAGUGGAGCGUCGGAGGCCUUCUUUAAGCUCGCCUUGCAAGUUGUUCAACGUUUCUUCUCUGCGUUGAAUUUCCUUCUCCAAAAGUUCUAUUUCCGUAGUUUCUGAUGUGUCUUCAAGAGACGCCUUAAGCCUUUCGAUUUUAUUCUGCAGGUCAACUAUCUGAUGCUCUAGUUCUGUUUGUGAGGAGGGAUUCUCCAUUUCCUUUAUGUUUAUGUUAUUUACUUAUCUAAUUUACAGGCUUUAGUUAAUGAGCUGCUUGUGGUUACUAUAACUUACAGGCUGCAUUAACAGAAGGGAGGAGAAUCUUUGCACUUUAAACCAAGUUGAAAUAGAAGCAGAUAACCAACACAAAUGUUGAGAAGAAAUGUAUAAAAUAACGAAUGCAACCAGCUAGCUGUUGCAAACUGAUGUGGUGAAGUAAACCUCUUAUGCUAAACACAAAUCCAAUACACUGUUAAGACCGUACAGUUACAAAUUGAAUCAAAUGCCCCCUUAGAGUCAGUAGAAAGAAUGAUAAAUAAACAGUGGUGGUGGUAAAUACCAAUAAACAAGACUAAUUCACUUGUUAUCACUUCAUGUCUGUUAUUUCUUAAUGCAAUGUCCUUAGUGCAGAUGUCCACAGUAGUUGACGUCCUCUCUCCUUUUUAACCACCACUGAUGAGCAUGAAUGUCCUUUCCUUGUCAAUUAUAUUGAAAUGUUCCAUACCUUUUCUGACCGUCACAUCAAACCAUUAAACCAGCUGCAUGAUGAUCAUAAAGUCUCUGUCUAGAAGACCCAUAGAAUGGCGCUGAGCUGCUCCGUGAAAUGUCUUGUCAAUCCCAGACGAAUAGCAACACAGCUCCGUGACUCGUCCUCGUGGUGCAGCGUGGCAGCAGGAUGAUGCGGGGGAUCAGCUCUUACUGUAGCAUUCCAGCCGGACUUUAUUCAGACGAUGCACUCAAUGAUCAUUACGGAUGGUCCAUGGUGGGGUAUUCCAACCCAUUUAUUCACAAGUUUUACCAUAGAAACAUCGUAAGAGCUGUAAUCAUAACAUAAAACAAAAUAAACAUUCACUUGAUAUAACCACAUUUCCUAAAUGCUAAUUAAUUCACAGAAAAGGCACAAGAGGUGCUAGCAUCAGCCUGCUAGAUCACUCAUAAACUUGUUAACAAUCAAGUAAUAAAUUUACAAAUUGUCCGAAAUGUUAACAACAAGAAAAAUACACAAACAUACCUGUUCGCCUUCCAGCUAGAUGCUAAUUUAAAGAUGGAUGGGAAACGAUAACCUUUUCAUUAACCUUUUCUGCAGCAAGCAGUAGCAGUACGAUCUUCCUUCCCGGAAGUUGUCCGUUCCGAAUUUCAAAAUAAGAGUCUAAUCUAUAUUAUAAAGUGUAAUUCGUUCAGGGAUUUAACUGUUUGAAAAAUAUCAAUGAGACAAAUAAUCUGGGUCAUUUACAGGCAGGGAGAGCCAUGGAGCGCCAAUUGGCGGCAGGGCGCGGCCGCAGGAGAAGAGAGCGGGCCCUUGCAGAAGCGGGAGCGGAGUGGCCCGACGAAGGACGCUGGCGGCCUGGCCCUACUGGUGGACACAAGAAGUGUGGCGGAUUCCGAUUUGGACCCUUGGGACUUUGGCUCGCUGACUGAGGAACACUUUUUUUUUUUUUUUUUUUUAAAUUGUGCUGAGUUUUACGUUGUUUCGAUUAUUCUCUUCCCUGAUCAGAGUAUUUUUUAAUGCUGUAAGUAAAGUGUAUUUUUAUUGACUAUUUUAACCGGGUUUACACAUCUUUCUGUUCCCGUGAUCAUCCCCUGCUGCUAUUUCCGUUUUAGUUCCCUUCUAGUAUACAUCCGUGACAUGCAUAUGUGCUUUCCUCUAUAAAAUACUUUACUCUCUGAUCUGGCCUGAAAAGUUUCUUAAUUGUAAGAAUUUUUAGAAGGCUGAAAAGGAACCUCAAGGAGGGGCUUCUCAUAACGACUUGAAUUACACUAUGCUCCGAUGUGCACAAAAUAAAAAGUGAUGGAAUGAUACCACAGACAUAACAGAGUUAAUGACACUUUAUAGAUUCAUUUGUAAUGGGACGCUGGUUGAAGUUACGGUAAAAAUCCUUCAACUUUAAUUAUUAAGAAAUGAAAAUGUCAUUUGUAAAUGACCAGAAGCAUCUAAUAACUGUUGCUCUCAGCCUGGGGAACAUAAAAAUAACAUUUGC